Molecule: long non-coding RNA, 38404 nt
Filed under: Gossypium barbadense (sea-island cotton)
Lineage: Eukaryota; Viridiplantae; Streptophyta; Magnoliopsida; Malvales; Malvaceae
Description: long non-coding RNA (GBAR_LNC000375)
Source: RNAcentral
GUUUCUACGCAGGUAAAUCUGGUGAUGCAGUGCGACGCAAAUGGAGGUGGAAUGAACAAUCUAGAAUGUUUACCCUACGGUCCUAACACAGAGAACGAACAAAUAAAUUAUAUGGAUAAUAAUUCUAGGCCUCAAAACAACCCUUAUAGUAAUACUUAUAAUGCAGGUUGGAGGAACCAUCCCAAUUUCUCUUGGGGUGGUCAAGGAAAUCAGAAAGCAUAACCCCCUCCAGGCUUCCAACAACAACCUUACCAGCAAGAGAAAAGCUCGAACCUUGAGGAGAUGUUGACGAAGUUUAUUUCAAUGUUAGAAACGCGUUUUCAAAACACUAAAGUAGCACUUAAAAACCAACAAGCAUCACUUCAAGGACUUGAGAACCAAAUUGGCCAACCUACUAAGUUAAUUUUAGAAUGACUAUAAGGUAGUUUGCGUAGCAAUAUUGAAACUAAGCCAAGGGAACAACUUCAUGCAAUUACUGUGUGAGAUGAAGAAGGGUUAGUUGAAUCUGAAUCAGAACCGAGGCAAUAAAGUGUGAUAAGUAAUGGUAAGGUUGAGGUAAGCCAGAAUAAGAAAAAACUGGUUGGUAAAGAAUAUAAACCUCGAGUGCCAUAUCCUAACGCGAUGAAGAGAGACCACACGAAUGAACAAUUUGGUAAAUUUCUUAAACUUCCGAAAAAAUUACAUAUUAACUUACCGUUUAUUGAAGCUCUUUCGUAUAUGCCCAAUUUCGUUAAAUUUUUAAAGGAGCUUUUGGUGAACAAAAGGAAGUUAAAUGAUUCGUCAACUAUGGAGCUAAAUGUAGUUUGCUUAGCCAUACUACAAAAUAAACUACCCAACAAAUUGAAAGAUCUAGGGAGUUUUACUAUUCCUUAUUUAGUUGGUAGUUUGAAUGUUAAUAAUGCUUUGGCUUAUUUAAGGGCUAGUAUUAAUGUCAUGCUUUAUAAAAUGUUUAAGUAAUUAGGUCUUGCAAAACCAAAACAAACUAGGAUGAAUAUUCAAUUAGUAGAUAGAACCAUUAGAUUUCCUAGAGGUGUUAUUGAAUACGUAUUUGUAACAAUUGAUAAAUUCAUAUUCCUAGUUGAUUUUGUUGUUUUAGACAUGGAUGAGGAUAGUGAUGUACCUCUGAUUCUAGGUCGACCCUUUUUAGCAACUGUUAGGACUAUUAUUGAUGUUGGUACAGGUGAAUUAAUACUCCAAGCUCAUGAUUCUAUUAAGACAUCUAGUGAUCGAGAUAAUUUUACAAGUUUUGCUAAUAUGAGUAACCAUGUGGCUCAACCUUCUUUGCAGGAAACCUCUGAGAAAAACGCAAUGGAGCCAUGUUCCAGUAAAUACGAUAAAACGACUCAUGAAGAAUGAAUGUUAUGAAUCGAUGAACUAGAUAAAUGGCGAAUACAAGUCAAUGAGAAACUGAAAAAGCACGAUGAAGAGCCAAAGCGACGCCAUGAUGAGCAUGUGGAUGGAACGAAACAAUUUAAGGUUAAGGACAAGGUACUGCUAGAUAGAACGGAUCCUCAAAUUGCCACUUUGGAGCUUGAGGCAAACGGAUCAAAUCCCUUUACGGUACUGAAUGUCUUUUCAUACGGUACAGUCGAGUUAACUCAUUUUGAAUUAGACACAUUUAAGGUAAAUAGUACCCAACUUAAAACUUAUUUUGAUAAUAGAAUUGAUAAUGAGAAAGAGGAGUUUUGACUCUGCGAACUACCGUGGUUGUGCGAAUACGAGGAAAGUUAAGCUUAGACUCUAAAUAAGCACUUAUCGGGAGGCAACCCGAGUGUUAAAACUGCUAAUUUUUUAUUUUUAUUUCAGUUUAUUUUUUAAAAUUAAUUAAUUUUCAAAAAAAAUGUUUUUGACCCACACAGCUUGGACACAUGGGUGUGUCCUAGGCCGUGUGUACUAUAAGGGGUUUGAAAGUAAGUUACACGGCCUGGCAACAUGGCCGUGUGACCCACACGGUCUAGACACACGGGCGUGUCCUUGGCCGUGUAGACUUUUAGACUUAAUUUUUUUCAAAAAAUUGAAAGAUUACAGGACCUAAAAUAGUCCACACGGCUGUGUGAAAUCUGAAACUAUUUUUUUAAAAUGUUAAAUCAAGUUAGAAAGUUACACGUGCAAGACAUGUGGCUUUGUGCGAGACACAGUCGUAUGCCACACGGCCUAGACACACGGGCGUAUCCAAGGCCAUGUAAAGAUUAGACCUAUAUUUUUAAAAAGCACACUGGCGCGUGACAUGGCCGUGUGGCCCAACACGGACCCUUACACGACCGUGCCCCCUUUUUAACUCCCAAACCUUAAAUUUAUUAUUUUAUUUUCAUCUUUCCAAAACCCCUUAACCCUAGCUGCCGCCAACCAACUCUCUUCUACCUCUCCGGCCAUCAUCAUUCCUCCCAUUGUUCACGCCUCUCCUCUUUCCCACCACCCCCAUACCCAUACCCAUACCCAUACCCAUACCCUCUCCCACUUUUCUCCUUUCCUUCUCCCUUCCUCACCUCGUUGAGCGUCCACGCCCAAAGGCCUCACUCUUCCCCUCACCUCGCCGAACCCUUUCCCUCUCCUUCACCCUCGUCACACAGUCUACACCCACCGACCACACCCUCCUCGUCCCCCUCGCAUCCCUCUUUCUCGUCUUUCCACCAAGCCGCAACCCCAUUACCACUUUUAUCCCACCCCUGUGUCGUAACCUCCACCUUUCCCCUAGCCUUGUCGUACACCACCAUGCCUGCGAUGACCACCAUCGCGCAACUUCGGCCACCGUCCAUUGCUCCAUCGAUUUGUACCCUCUUUAUUAUUAUUAGUAUUAUUAUUAUUUAUUUUAUUUCUUGUUUUAUUAUUUUAUUAUUUUAUUUUCUUUACUGAUUAUUUUUUUAUUUAUUAUCUUUUACUAUUAUUAUUAUUAGUCAUUUUAGUUUUCUUUUCUAGUUCUACUUGUUUACUACUCUUCUUUUAAUUUUUAUUAAAUCGUUAAUUACUUAUUAUUUAUGUCACUGUCUUAGAUUAUUAUGAUAGUUAUUGUUCUUCCUUGGUUUAUUAUAUUGAGUUAUUUUCUCACUUAUUCUCUUAAUAUUAUUAUUGUUCUUAGUAUCCGAAUUCGGUAUUUAUCCUUUCUAUUCUUCUCAUUAUUAUGUGAUCUUAUUUUUAUUAUUACUGGUAUUUCAUUAUUUUAAUUGUCGUUUUAGAUUUCCAUUUUGUUUCAUGUUUUUAUUCAUUAUUAUUUUUUCAUAAUUGAUUUUAAUAAAUAGUGUUUUAGGAGUCGAUUAUCUAUUUUCGACUGUUUGGAUGUUAAUGCCCGUCUUAGGAUAAUUCUUAGUGUCGUAUUUUAAUUUACACGACCGUUUCUCAACCUCUUUGUUUGUUUGGUGAUGUAUUUUAUUUUCAGAUAGUGCAUUAUUUUAUUUCAAGCACACCAUGAUGAACACUCGCAGCAAGUCCAAGGUUAUCGUCCCCACUUUGAAAAAGCGGAAGAUCCCUAGCACGACCUACUCCUCGAGCGCUUCCACCGAGACCCGCAAUUCCUAUAUUACAUUUUUUGAGGGUCCCUAGGAGAUUUGUAUCAGCUACUUCGACUAUGACCACUCAGCUUAGGCCGAUGUAUUGAUGGGACUGUUUUGGAGCAUGUCUACUUAGUUGAUCAUGUUUGAGCCUUUAUUACUACAGCCCCGUGGGACCGGUUUUUCUCCAUCAUUGACCCCACAUGUAUGGAGCUAAUGAUCGCGUGAUUCAUAACAAGCAAUAAAUAUUUAUAAUGAAGAUCAAACCUAGACUAACUAUUAUCACAACGAAAAGGCAAGCGCACCUAUCAAAUAAUAGUAUAGUAAUGGCAAGACCGGGAUAUCGUACCCAAGGGAACCAAAAGUACUAGUAAUAACUAUCUUUUUAUUAUUUAACCUAGAAAUAAAGAGGGGUUGUUUAUUAAACUAAUUAACUAACUAAAAUAAAGCAAAGAGAAAAUUUGAAAAAAGACUUGAAGAACAGUAAUUGAUAAAGACGACACCCAAGGAGGAAUCCACCUAGAUUUCACUUGUUAUUUGACUCUGAACCAGACGAUUUAUUCACUUGACUUGAUCCGUGAGACUCCCUAACCUAUAUUAUUAUCUCUUUCGAGACUAAUAACACCUAACCCUCAGUUGAAUUAAUCGAAAUUUCUUUCUUAAUUAAAACCCCUAGGUAAGCAGUAAAUCGAUCUAUGGACUCCCAUAUUAGGUUUCACCAUAAUCCAAAAAAAUCUCAUAACCCUAUUUCUAGGCGUUCGAUCAACUCCUCUUAAUUAUGUCAAAUCUACUAUUAGACAGAGACUUUUGCUCCUCUGCAUAAGCACAUCAAAUCAUGAAUUAAUACCCGGAAUAUUAACUCAAGCAUUAAAACACAUAAUUAAGAACAAAUCAAGUAUUUAUCAUACAGUUCAGAUAAUAAUAACAAGAUCCAUCAUAGGUUUCAACCUCCUUAGGUAUUUAAGGGGUUUAGUUCAUAAUAAAAUAAGAGUAUAUCUCAAAAGUAUGAAAAUAACAAAACAUAAAGAAAACUCUAAAACCCCUGAAGGAAUUCUUAGAGAGAUCUUCAGUCUUGGAGUAGCUCCGGCUUUUGGGAUGGAUCGUUUGGCUUUCUUUAAGUAAUUCUCGGCGUGCGGUUUUGUACUCCAAAAAAUUUCUGGAGAAAGCGACCCCUCUCUAAGUCAUACUUAGGGUGUUUAUAUAGGCUUUGGAUUGGCUUUCUUCCUCCUUAAGUAUCCUUUUCCGUGUAAAAUACAACUAUUUGAAAAAGGGACACACCCGUAUGCCACGGCCGUGUGACGUGAUUGCCAAGCUGUGUUCGAUCCGUUAAAUUGUACACGGUCGUGUGGGUCAAUGGCUAGGCAGUGUGAAUCGUGAAAGCCUUGGUCAACACCCUCGAAAGACACGGGCGUGUGAGCUACCUAUGUGGCAAGGCUUAGGCCAUGUCAUCUUCUUGAUUUGGUCCAUUUUGUCUCUUUUUGGCUCGUUUUUGGCUCCUUUCACUCUCCUAUACUCUCCUAAGUGUAAAACAUGGAAUUAAAGCAUUAGGAGCAUCGAAUUUACCAAUUCUAAUGAGAAAUCAUCCAUAAAAUGCAUUAAACAUGGGGUAAAAAUAUGUAUAAAUUACGAUUUAUCAAAUACCCCCACACUUAAGCAUUUGCUUGUCCUCAAGCAAAAUCCUCAACUCAUAAUCAAAAUAAAUUCUUCUCAACUUAUAAUCUCUAUCGAUAAUAUCUCACAUUAAUCCAUAAGUAAUCAUACAUUGAGAAUUCAACUAAAAGAACAUAAAAGUUUCAAACAUUCCAAGUUGAGUAUUUAGUCAUGCAAACUUAGGUGCUUCCCUUCGUCUAAGUAAUUACCUUUGAUUCAGAAUAUCACAGAGUUUCACAUCCUCACUAAAGGUUCACUCAAAUCACUCGAGGUGUUUAAGGACAAUAAAUGAAGCACUCAAUAGUCAAUAAUGAAAAGUCAUUACCAUAGGCUUGCAUGAAAAUCAAAUCCCCACCACUAUAAUUUAAGAUGAUACAUCAAUCAAAAGGUCUUUAGAGGGUUGUAAUGAGGCUUAGUUAGGGGGUGUGGUCACAACUGAAAGAAAGGGUUAGAAUCGAUGUUAAACAUUAGAUGAUAAUCAAUGUGUCAAUAUUUGCUUACGUUUUGUUUUGCAUACAAAAAUUGUUAAGGACAUAUGCAAAUGAUAUUAAUGUAUAAUGGAAGUUUUAAAAAUUACAAACAUAAAUUGACGAAUAUACUACACUUAAGGCACUAGAUCCUAAUAAUUCCCCAAAUUUGCUCCCUUCCAAUAUGCAAAUAUUUUUCAUGAUACUUAUCAGUGUUCUUUAUAUCUUCUAAAAUUUUUUGGUCCAUCCUAAACUAAUGAAAUACCCAAUCACACCGAUGCCACUUAAUGUAAGAGAAGCGUAUAAAUAUGUACAUGUUAAAAACAUCAUUAUGAACAUGUGUGUUUAUUGGUAGUAUGAUAAUAAUCUCUUCCACCUGGUAUGACAUCCAUACAAACUGCAAAAUUAAUAAAAUAAUUGCAUUUUAAUUCAAUUGUGAUAUUGAUUAUAUCAUUAUAAUACACAAUUUAUCGAAUUAUUUGAUUCAACAUCAAUAGAUGCUACUAUAUUAUCCUUCUAGUAAGUUGUAUGAUCAUAAUGCUUGGACCACUUGUUAAAAUAUCAAAUAUUAGUACCAAUAUAAAAUUGUUUAGAAUGUAAUAUAUUUUAUAACAUAGGCUUUUGAUUUUAUCAUAUUGCAAGAGGGAAUAUGAGAUUAUUAGAAGGGAUAAACACUAUCCAUGGAAGUCGAUACCGUUACACAAUUGUGAAAUCAUAAGACAACCAUUUCUUUCAUUAUUCUCCACUUUGCAUGCCUUACAUAGCAUUUUUGUAUAGGUAAGCCAAAAACAUAAAACUCUAAUUGUAUGGUCUAGCUGUAUGCUUCAAAAUUAGAUAACAAUUAGAAAUACACGAAUGAACUAAGUUGCUAAACUUUUCAUGGAUUGGCACACCUCCAAUCAACUGAAGAAUAUAAGCUCUAGCAUGAUGUUGGAUAUCUUUGAGUGUUGUUUAUUUAAGAGAUGCACAAAGCGACUCUUCAACUAUGUUAACUUAAUUUGCAAUCAGACUUAUGGUUUAUACAUGUUCCCAACAUUGAACAAGGACCUCCACCAGAUUGUACUAAAAUAUUCUCAUUAUCGGAUGCCUAUCCACUAGAAGACUCGUUAGUAACGCUAAAUAUUUAGUGUUAUUAUUGGUUCAUUGCAUGGAGAUGAAACAUAUGGGUCUCAGGUCUUUAUCAUUCAAUUAAAUAAAAAAAAGAAUGUUAGCACAAAAGUAAAAUUAUUAAUUUGAUGUGAUAAAAAUCAUCUUUUAAGUGAAGAAUGAUUUUGUCAUCUAAUGCAUUCAUCUCUACAUUACUAGGACAACAAACCACUAGAAAACACUCUAUUGUUAUAGCAUUUUAAGUAACAUAUCCUUCUUUUGAUCUCAAUAAGGGGGCAAUCAUUAUAGUAUGCUUCAAAAUUCAAAGUUACAAAUCUUGGGUAUAUAAGAUAGUAUAAAAUAUAGAUAGAGAAUAUUUUAGGUUUCUAUGAAAAUCAAACAAGUGGAAUGAAUUGUUUAUAGAUUUUAAUAUUAGAGCUUUUACUAUGACCUCGAUAGCCAUUUAUGACGAGGUCUUGUUAAAUUUAUAAUUUUUUUAGGGUAAACUACACUAUUAGUCAAUAAACUAUGAGUAAGUUUUUCGUUUUGGUCACUUAACUAAAAAAAGUUACAAUAUGGUCAUUGAAAUAUUCAGAACUUUUCAUUUAAGUCAUUGGACUGUUAAAAUCAAUACUAUAUGGCUUUCUUUAUUUGCAUUGCCUACACUAAUCGAAAGCUUUCUUUCCUCUUCUCUUUUAAGGUUCAUUUUUUUAUGAGACAACUUUGAAUGUCACGAAUCUGCAAAUCGAAAUUUAAACAACUUUUUUCUUUGAUCUCCGACACUGAUCGUUAAAUCAACUUAGACCUAAGAUAUGUUCUUCUACUCGUCGAUGGGUACUGAUCCACUGUACUAACCAUUGAAUUGCCUCUUGGAGCUUGUUGGCAAUAUUUUUUUUUAAAGAAAAACUUAGCAGCCUAAUGAUUUAAAUGAAAUCUUUCGAAUGGUCCGACAACUAAUGGUUUAAUGACCAAAAUGAAAACUUAUCCCAUAGUUCAGUGACUAAUUGUGUGGUUUAUCUAGAGGUGUUCAUGGGUUGGAUUGAGCUCAAGAUAGGCUUAAGCAUUAUAUUAACACACUUUAUACUUGCCCAAGCUUGGCCUAGCCUGAUCAUGGACAUAAAAUUUUGCCCAAGCCUACCCAUGUUGGAAUUAGUUGACCUAAGCCCAUUUAGGCCUGCCCAUAUUAUUUUUAAAAUAUUUUUUUAUUUUAUUUUAAUAUUUAAUAAUUAUAUAAUUUUUUAUUUAUUAUAGUUUUAUAUAUAGUCAUCUUAAUUUUUUUAUGUUUACAUUAUAGAAGUAUUAUAUAUUACUAUAUAUCUAAUUUUUAUGUGUUACAAAUUAGAUAAUAUAUAAAAACAGUAUAAUAUAAAACAUUACAAACUUGAAAAACGAAUCGGGUUGAGCUUAGGCUUUGAAUGUUAAGCCCGAGCAAGACCCAUAUUUUAAACUAACCUAAAUUAUUUCUUAAACUCAUUUUCGAGUCUAAUAUUUUUACCCACACUAUCCUAAAUUUCGAACAGGUCUUCAACUUUGGACAAGUUUAAGUUUACUUUUUUUUUCAACAAUUAUGAUUUAUUUUUUAAAAAUUUACAAAUACUUUAAUUUUUGUAAAUAUCAUCCUUUACAAAUAUAUAAAUGGUCACAAUUUAAAAUUUUAAAUAUAUUUAUUUUAAUACUUCUAUACCAAAUUCUUUAAAAUUUUUUUUAAGAAAACUAAACAAAUUACAAGAAAAGAUAAAAUAUGAUGCUAGAAAGAAUGCAUCUCCUGUGCUCAACCUCAUCCAACCAGUUCUGUUUUGCAUCAUCAUUGACUUUAAAUUUUAUCCGACUUUUGACUUUCACUCCAUCAGAAACCAAAAUGAAGGAGUGAGCUCAAGAAUAGUAUUAUGAGGAUGGAAACAGCAUAUAGAAACUUAAUAGUGGGAGGCUAUUUUGUUCAAAGUGAAAGACGGGCAAAUAAAAAUAAUAAAGUCGAGAAAAAAGCCAAAAUGAAAUCCGAUUUUGAAGUCCGUCGUUCUGGACAUUUCCAAGAAGAUCAAAAACAAAAUAAGAGCCUGAAAACUCUUCAGUAUUUCUCUACGGUUUCCCUCACCGUAACAACCCUGUGGCUGUUUUCUUUUCUUUAGUUUAGUUAGAUUUUGUUGAUGGGCCAAUCAGUUUCGGCGGCGAAGCUAAGGAGCCGUCCAGAUUGGAACCAUCGCCAACGGUCAAAACCGAAAUCAACGGCUCUGAUCUGUCCGAUGCAAGCUGAGGAAACUGAAGAGCUUGAACGAAGUAACACAGAUGAAUCGUCGGAUUUCAUCUCGGAUCUUCCUGACGAGUGUUUGGCUUGUAUUUUCCUGUCUCUUAGCCCCGCUGACCGAAAACGAUGCUCUCUAGUUUGCCGGCAGUGGCUUCUGAUUGAAGGACAGAGCCGUCACCGAUUAUCUCUCAACGCACAAUCAGAUCUGCAGCCUCUCAUUCCUUCUAUCUUCUCUCGUUUCGAUGCUGUUACGAAACUGGCUCUGAAAUGUGACCGUAGAUCUGUUAGCAUAGGCGACGAAGCGCUUGUUCUAAUCUCCGAGCGUUGCCGGAAUUUGACUCGCCUUAAGCUCCGAGCUUGCCGUGACUUGACCGAUGCAGGAAUGUUGGCGUUCGCUAAAAACUGCAAGGGUCUAAAGAAGCUCUCCUGUGGUUCUUGCGCUUUCGGAGCCAAAGGCAUGAACGCUGUGCUCGACAAUUGUCCAGCACUCGAGGAACUCUCCGUGAAACGACUUCGUGGCAUCACCGACGGCGCUGCAGCUGAGCCGAUUGGGCCUGGGGUGGCUGCGGCGGCGUUGAAAACAAUUUGCUUAAAAGAGCUUUAUAAUGGGCAGUGUUUUGGUCCGCUUAUUAUUGGUGCAAAGAAUCUGAAAUCUUUGAAACUUUUUAGAUGCUCUGGCGAUUGGGAUAAGCUUUUCCCACUCAUAGUGGAACGGGUCGCGGGUAUGGUAGAGAUCCAUAUGGAGCGGAUCCAAGUCAGCGAUGUCGGUCUUGCGGCUAUCUCCAACUGUUCAAAACUAGAAAUUCUUCACCUCGUUAAGACUCCCGAGUGUACAAACGCCGGACUCGGAGCUGUUGCAGAGAAAUGCAACUUGUUAAGGAAGCUUCACAUUGAUGGAUGGAAAGCAAAUCGAAUAGGUGACCAAGGAUUAAUUGCUGUUGCAAAAUCUUGCACCAAUUUACAAGAAUUAGUUCUUAUUGGUGUUAAUCCCACCAAACUGAGUUUGGAAAUGUUAGCUUCUAAUUGUCCAAAUUUAGAACGGUUAGCCUUAUGCGGUAGCGAUACAGUUGGUGAUGCAGAGAUAUCGUGUAUUGCUGUGAAAUGUAUUGCCUUAAAGAAGCUUUGUAUCAAGAAUUGCCCUGUUUCGGAUCAUGGCAUGGAAGCGCUUGCUAGUGGUUGCCCUAAUUUGGUUAAAGUGAAAGUGAAGAAAUGUAGAGGAGUUACUUCGGAAGGGGCAGAUUGGUUAAGAUCAACUCGAGGAUCACUUGUCGUUAAUUUGGAUAUCAAUUUGGAUAUAGGCGAGCAUUUAGAUGCAAGUGCCAGUGAUGGUGGGGUACAAGAUAAUGGAAUUGAAUUUCCUCCAAUGGUGGGCAGUCAAAUUGGAGCUUCUAGUAUUGCAUCGAGCAGUACAGGUCGAUCGACGUCAUUCAAGUUGUUAGGGCUUAUGAGUGGGAGGAGUUUUGUGGCUUGCACAUUAAGGAGGUUGGCAAGUAGUUCUCGGAGUUAACUCGGAAUUGCAACAACAACAAAAAGAAAAAGAGUGAAAAUAGAAAGCACUCUUGGUAUUGAACUGUUUGCAUUAUUUUUCUGUUGGUAGUUCUCCCUUUUUUGUGUAUUUAAUUCAAUUCUGUGUGCUGAUGAUUGCCUUUUGAAUUCAAUCUUCAUCUUCAACAUUUUAUAGUUCUCAAUUUGAUCUGUUGGUUUGUAGUUCCUUUAUUUAGCAAGCUCUGUCUAUGUCUUCAUUCUUCUCAAACAUAUUUGUCCUAUACUGGAAUUUAAAGAACAUCUUUCUGAUUAAUUUGUUUUAUCUCUUUAUUUGGUCCGUGUUACAAAAUACUUGCAUACCAACAUGCAUGUCCUCCAAAUGCAUACUUGUAUCCUAAAAUUCAUCUUAUUAGAUAGGAGGAGGUUUGUUUCUCCUGUUAUAUGCAAUUUAUAUAUAUAUAUAUCAAUUGAGUUUUAAAUAUUUUAAUUGUUUGUUGCUGAAUGUUUUAAACAUGAUCAAUAGUAGGGAUCAGGUGUUGGAACUGAGAACCCGGUUAGACUUUUUGAUUUGCAAUAUGCAUAUCCUUAAUGCAAAUCAAAGCCGGAUUCAAACACCAACGUCUUGAUUCUUUGGAAAAAUGAUUCUUUAAUGUUAUUUUUGGUUUGAUGUGAAAAGAUCUGAUGAAUGCGACCGCUGUAUGAAAUUAGUAAGUUCUCUGAUUUUUUUCUAAGUGAAUUACUGUUAAAAUUGCUUUGAUGUUACAAAAGCCAAUUUUUAUGAUGGUUUAUUAUGAUGCUUCUGGUUGAUCAUAUUUUGCAAUGACUUGUUGAGCUGCAAUAUGAAGUGGUUAGGAAUUGAGCAGUUUAUCGUCUUUAAAUAGAGAACAAUUUUUUUUAUUUAAUUUCUAUUACAGGGGACACAGUCACAUGUCUCAGGGUACCUCUAAACAGUUCUAAGCUAGUUAGAUUACAUUUUGUUCUCUCAAUUGAAAAAAUGGGCUAAUUAGUUCCUAUAUCUUAGAUCAAAAAGUGAAUUUAUCUUUCUUGUUAAAUGUUUCACCCAUUUGUACUAUUAAAAGUAGAUGUGGUUAACGAAAUAACUAUAAUGGCAAAUAAUGACAUAUGACAUGUUUUGUGUACCUUAUGUUGGUAAAUAUGGACUAGAUUUUAAAAGAAAAAAUGAAUAGAAUUUAUAAUAGAAGAAUCAUUUUAAUUUUUUGACCUAUGGAUUAAUUUAUUUUUUUAAUAAAAGGGAUAAAAUAUAAUCUGAUUUUUAAGUUUAGUUAUAGUAUUAUUUUUUGAAAGUGUUUUUGCAGAAAAAAUAUAUUUUUGAGAAGUUAAAAUUUUUAAUUUUUGAAAAAAAAAAGUAUUUUUAUCUAAUUUUUAGCUCGAGAGAAAUGUUUUUUCUCUAAAAAAAAGUAAUUUGUUGAAGAAUAUUUUUAUCUCAAAAAAGUGUGUAUUUUUUAGAAGUAAUACUAAAUUAGGGGGUUUUCAUUAUACAAUUACUUUUAAGUUUCUGACCAUGUUGCAUUAUACAUAAAGUUUCUGACAAUGUGUUGGCAAAUUCAGGGUUGAUCUUGUUAAGCUAAGCACGGAAUUGUUGGUUUAUAGUAAUGCUUUUAUUUUGUCAGCUUGCCUACCGCUGAAUAAUUCCAAAAUAUAGGUAGUUUUUGUUGUUGUUUGAAAUUAGAUUUUUUAUUUAAAUAACCCAAAUAAUUUAAUUAACUAUUAAAAUGAUCUUUUUUUAAUUAAACACGAAAAUGAUCUUAAAUCUAUAGUAAAAGUUGGUAGAACCAAAUUAUAUGGCGUUACCAACUUGUCACGUCAGCAGGGAACAUAAAAAAUUAAUUUUUUGGUGAAAUCAUGCAGAAUAGCACCACCUGUAUAAAUAUUAGGGAAAUACUAUAAUUUCUAGAAAAAUAGGAGAUUUCAAAACAAUUUUUCAUUUUCUGGUGGAGCUAAUUUUUUAUUAUUAACUUUAAAAAAUUUGAAAUGUAUAUUUGAAAUAUUUUAUAAUAUAUGUUUUUUAAAAUUUUAAAUAUAUAUUUUUGAAAUUAAUUUUUUAAAAAUUUUAAAUGUUAUUUAAAAAUUAAAUAUAUUUUCUAAUAAUAUGAAACAUUUAAACAUUUAAAAGAUAUGAUCUUUUAAAUUUAUUAAUUGUUUUUAAUUUUUAAUAAUAUAAAACAUUUAAAUAUUUAAAAUUUUUAAAUAAAAUUUUUAAUAAAAAUUUAAAAAUGGCUAAAUAUAUUUAAAAAUAAUAAUUUAAUAAAUUCUAUGUAAAAAUUGAUAUUUUUAAAGAUAUUUAAAUUUUUUAAAUUUUUUUAUAAAAAUUUUAUUUAAAAAUUUCAAUGUUUAAAUAUUAUUAAAAAAUAUAUUUAAUAUUUAAAAAAUAAUAUUUAAAAUUUUAAAAAAUAAUUUCAAAAAUAUAAUAUUCAAAAUUUUAAAAAAUAAUUUCAAAAAUAUAUAUUUAAAAUUUUAGAAAAUAAUAUUUAAAAUUUUAAAAAUUAUAUAUUAUAAAACAUUUAAAAUAUACAUUUUAAAUUUUUUAAAAUGAAUAACACAAAAUAAAUAAAAUAAUUAAACAAAAUAAAACAAAAAGAAAAAGAAAAAACUUAAAAAAAGAAAAAAAAUUAAAGAAAAAGAAAAAAGUUAAAAAGAAGUAAAAAAAAAUAGAAUUAGCGUGUCAGGUCUGCUGGUGCCAUUUAAAUUGGCUCCACCAGAAAAUAGAAAAUUGUUUUGAAGUCUUUUACUUUUUAAAAAAUUACAGUAUUUUUUCUAGUAUUUAUACAGGCGGCACCAUUCUACAUGACUCCACAAAAAAGUAAAUUUUUAUGCUCCCUGCUAACGUGGCAAGUUGGUGACGCCAUAUAAUUUGGCUCUAUCAACUUUUACUGUAAAUUUAGAGUCAUUUUGGUGUUUAAUUAAAAAAGUAAGUCAUUUUAGUACUUGAUUAAAUUAUUUGGUUUAUUUUGAUAAAAAAACAGUUUGAAAUUGGAUUCAGGACAGUGAAUGAUUUUGAAUUGGAGCCUUCCUACCCCUGCUUUCUGCCUUGGUGCUCAAAGUCUCAUAUUGGAUUAAUUAUAUUCCCGCCUAAGAAAUACAAAAUUUGAAACUUGUCAGAAAUUAAUGACGUUGCUUUUGAAACCAUCACAUUCGUAAAGUGAAUGUGAGUGCUAAUUUUUGACACAUCUUGACAUUGUGAUAUAUUUUAAUGUUUAUAAUGAUAUAUAGUACAUAAACAUUGCCAUUUGAAUGAAUUGGAGAUUGCUUCCACAUCCACAAUAUAUUUGUCAAGGUGUCUCAAUCCAUGACCUAAUAAAGAUGCUUGCUUAUCCUGUUCUUUACCAACUAAGCAUGUUUUUUUUCCUUAAUUUGGGCCGAUUACUCCAUUUACUAUUUAAUAAUAAAAAUAUUUAAUCUAUAUUACAUUCAAAAUCUUUGGCAAGUGAAUAGCAAUUUAGUAGAGGGAAAAAGAACUAGAAUUUUGAAAGUAACAAAAUUUAUUUACUCUUUGUAGGAAAAUUAAAUAAUUUAAACAACAAGUUUUUUAUUUGAAUAAUAUAAUUAUAUAAUACUAAAAUAAUGCAAAUAUGCUAACACAUAAUAGGUGUUGAGUUCCUUAUGGUUGCUCAACAAUUAUCAUAAAAUUAGUUGUGUAAUCAUUUGUUGUUCAACAUCGUUAUAAAUUUUAACAUAUGUGAUUAUCAAAAUCAUGUUAUUUUAAAUUAUUCAAUCCAACUUGACACUUGACUUUUUAGGACUGUACUUUGUUAUUAUUGAUAGAUUUGAUUUGAUAUAUUAGAAACUCAACACCAUUAGGCCUUUUUGCGAUACAUCAAACUCGACAUCUAUGAGUGUUAAGGUCAUGCUAUCUUAAGUUGUUCAAUCCCCUUCCCUUCUUAUAAAUUCUGCAAAACCAAUAAUCAUUAUUCAUUCCAAAAUUCUUUCAAAAUCCUCUCUAACAUCUACAUACCCUAAACCAUUCGAAUUACUUUCAAAAUGCGCUACAAGUCAUUUUAUCAUGUAAUUGUUUUUUCUCCAUAAUUCAUGAAUUAGUGUAACGAAAGUUUUCAUAAAUGAUUUUGGCAAAUAUUAGAUUAUUAUUGCAUUUACCAAUUUCUGAUAGUAAAUUUUUAAGUGUUUUCUAGCCAAUGUUAUGCUAUUAUUGUUGUUACUAAUUAUUGAAUAUGUUAUAUAUAUGCUAUAAGUUAUGCGAUUGUUUUUGCUUACUAUUGUAGUAAGUUACAAUUAAUUUUAUUGGAUUAUUUGUUAUCAAGAAUUGUUGAGGUUGUUAGCCUUAUUUGUAAUGUUCAAAAUUUAAUAUUUGACAACCUCAAAGAAAAAGAUGGUAGAUUAACUCAUGGCCCAAAUCCAUUUGAAGGGAUUUAUUAUUUUCAUUGAGGAAAGAGUUGUAUUUCAAUAUGAAGCUUGACAUUUAGGAAUGAUGUUACCUCAGAGUACAUGAAAUGGAGGAUUCUUAGGAAAAUUCAAGCAAGAGGUACUAAGUGGAUAUCCAAUUGAAAUAUAAAUUCAUGAGGUCUAGUAGAAUGGGUGUAAGUGUUAUAACACCAUAAAAGUGAUGAUGUUGCCAUGGAGCUAUUAGUGCAGUUCUAAUAUGUUUUUUUAUACUAGUUAUGGCAUUUUGAAUUAUGUAAGCUCAUUGACUAUCUUGGUGCCGACAUAUUAUUUUAAGAUUCUAUUAAUGUCAGAUACUACUGGUAUCUUUCCCGAGUACUAUACCCAAGAGUCUAUGAUGCCAUAUAUCCAUGAGUUGCAUGAACAAACGAUGGUUGUUCCAUUGUUGGGAGGAUUUGAAUUGGUCAAAGCAAAUUAUCUACAUCUUUUGGUACGUAACAAUCUCGAAUAAUUUGAGUAAAAAAUGAUGCACAACUAUCUUUUUUUAAGGCAUUCCGGAAACCAAAGCAUCAUGAUAAUGAUUUUGGUGAGCUCACUUAUAAUAGCCCGAUUUUCAGUGGUGCUGGAAAAAGUGAUUUCAAAACUUUAUUUACGGAGUUGGUAUAUUAGUAUAUUAAAGUUUAGUUUGGUAAUUUUGUUAAAUUCAUUGUUAAUUUAGGUGCAAUGACUAAAUUCUAAAAGUUCAAUCGUUAUAGGUUUUUAAUUGACUAAAGGCUUAAGGACUUAAAUUACAAUUAGCCAAAGGUCCAAAAUGAUAAUUAAACCAUUUUUCAUUAUGAAUUGGUGGAUGAUGUUGAGAGAUUCCAUUUUUUUAAUUAGUGGUUGAUUAAGUUAGUUAAAACAUAAUUAGUUUAAUUAAAUUAAGUUAAUUAACUUUUAAACAUGGUAUAAAAGAAAAAUAAGUGGUGUUUUGUCAUCACUUCCAUCUUCCUUACCGUUCGUAGUAGAAAAACCUAAAGAAAAACCAUUUUUGAAGCUCAAGCUAUUCGAUCCCUAAUUGACAAGAAUUGGAUCAAACCAAAGGUAAUUGAGGAAAAUCUAAAAUUGUCAAUUAGUCCUUGAAGAUUCAACUUGUUUGGUGUUUUGACUAGGUAUGGAACUUACUAUUCUAUUUUAAUUAUAUAUGAAUUACACUUGAAUUAAUAUUUAUAUAUAAUUGUAAGAAUUGAGUAGAAUUAGAGAAUUGCACAUGUAAUGACUCAAAAUUUAUGGGUAUUGGAAAUCGUGUUUCUGGCUUACUAUUUUCGUAAAUCGGGUUCAUAAAUAUUUAUUAGAAAUAUUUACGAAUGUUAGUUGAGUGAUUAAUUAGAUUUUGGCUAGGUGAAUUAGAAUGAAUUAACGUUAAUUUAGUGUAAGGACUAGAUUGAAUAAACUGUGAAAGUUAAAUUAUAGAAUAAAGAAAAGUGAAGGGACUAAAUUAGUAAUUAGACCCUAAGUGACAAGUGUGUGGUAAUAGUGAAUUACAUAUGGAAUAAUUAUAAAACAUAUAUUAGUAAUUAUUAUAUUUUACUUAUAAUUUAAGUAAGUGAUAUUUUAUUUUAAUUAUAUUAUUAUUAUAUUAUAUUUAUUAUAUUAGUUAUAAUAAAAGAAAUAAAAAUAAACAAAAUAAAGAACAAGAACAGAGAAAGAAACAAAAAAGAGAGAAAGAAAGAAGGAAAUAAAAAGAAAAGGGAAAAUUAGGGUUUUGAAGUUUGAAGCUUAAUUGGUAAGUCAAUUAGUCCUUUUUCUUGUAAUUUUAAUGUUUUUAGAAUCCAAGAGACAAAUAUUACUUGUUGUAAGUGGAAAUUUUGAAAGUUAGAUGAUUAUAGAUGUGGGUUACGUUGAAAUAAUUGAAGAAUUAGGGAUUUAAUUGAAUGAAUUUCAAGUUAGAAUUGAUUAAUGGAUUAAAUUGUAAAAUAAGCUAUAAGUUUUGUGUUUGAGAGACUAAAUUGAAAGAAACUUGAGAUUAGGGUUUUACCAUGAACAUUUGAUGGUUAGGGUGAAAAUGAUAGAAAAUUGAAUAGAAAUAAAGUAUGAAUUGAGUGAUAAAAGUAAAAGAGUUAAUUAGGAUUAAAUUGAAAUGAAAGUUUGAAUUAAACAGAAAUUCAAUUAUUUAUUGUAAAUUAAUAUUGUAUUAAUAGUGUAAAUUAUUAAAUUUCCGUGGCUAACAUAGUACCGGAGACAUCGACAAAGAAAGGAAAAGAGAAGAUUGACGAAGAGUAACCCGAGAAUUACAAUUUGUAUUUCUAUAAACUGAACUUAAUAAUUAACUAUUGCUUUUUAUUAUUUAAUGUGUAUGGUAAGUGAAAUUGAGGUGAAUUUGAUAUAUUGCCACUGAAUUGAAUUAUUUUGUGAAAGUAUGUGUAUGAUUGAAAAGUGUAUUGAAUUGGAAUAAAUUGAAAUUGUAUAUUGAUUGGAAAUUGAAUUAUGUAUUGAAAUACCCUAUUAACAAUGUCGGGCUAAGUCGGAUAUAGUUGACAUGCCAUAGGAUUGGAAGUGUACAGGGAUACUUCAACUUGAGUCGAUAGACACUAUAAGUGUCGUACUAUUACUUUGACUUUGAGUUGAUGAGGCACCUUGUGUUUCGUACUGUUAUUGUUACUUCGCUUUAAUCCGAUGAGGUCUUGAGUACCGUAUUGUUACUCUUUACUUUGACAAAGCUGAUGAGGCACUGAGUGCCGUACUGGUGUGUUGCUUGGAUCCGUAUAUUCGCCAAGGUCCGAGUUAUGUUAAUAGGGGUAAACUACUGUACUGAACAACUGAAUGACUUAUUACUAUACUGGACAACUAAUUGAUAUUGAUCGAUAAUGAAUUGAAUUGAAUAUUUUUUUAAGAAUGAGUUGUGAAUGAAGCUAUUGCCAUGAGAUUUGAAAUCUUAUAGUUUAAAUGCAUUUGAGUUAAUAAUUGGUUUAAGUUUUGGUUUAUAGAAAUACCACUAAGUGCAUACUCAGCGUACGGUUUGUUUCCGUGCACAAGUUAGGUACGAAAGUGAUUAACGACUCAGUAUCCAAGUUGAUCCUGAACUCAAAUACUUGGUGAUGUACCUUAUUUUGAAAAGUGGCAUGUACCUAGGUUGUCUUUUGAAGUUACAUUAAGAUAUUAAUGUUAAUAGUGUAAAAGAUGAUAGUUGUUAAUCAAUAUAUGCAAAUUUAUGUUUUAUUUUAUGGUCUUUUACAUAGUUUAAUUUGAAUUGAUUUGGAUGGUAUUUAAAUACAAUAUUUAGAAAAUAUUUAUUAGAUACUUAUAAAUAUACAUGAGUUAGAUCAUUAUAUUAAUAGUUUUAACAUGUUUUAGAUAUAAUUAAUCAUGUUUUGGAUUGGUUGAAAGAUUGGAUUUUAAGUUGCUUGUAUUUCAAGGUUCGCAGGGUUGGUAAACUUGAAUUGUAACGCUCCAAAUUUCUUAAAUUUCGGCUUUUGUAAUUGUUGAGCAUGGAAAUAACUGAACAGUUGGGUCUGUGUUAUUUUUGGCUUUAAACGUAUUGGUUUAAGUGGUUAUGUGCUCUGGGGUGUGUUUGGGAGAUCCUAAGUUCAAGCUUUAACUUGGGCCAAAUUUUGGAAUUUUAUUUGAAAAAAGCCUGACUUUAGGUUAGUGGGCUUAUAAGGAAUUGUUGGUAAAAACCUAACAAAAUGGGCCUGUUGGUCUAGUGGUUAAGUGGCAAGGGAUUACACUUAGGGCCUGGAGUUUGAUUCUCUGCAGUAGCGUUGGGAUUAUUUUUGCUGCAAGAUUUGGCUAAGAGUUGAGCUUUAUCAGAAAUCUAAAUUGAGGUUUAGGGAUAAUUAGAGCUUAUUUCCUUAUUUUUAACAAAAGUUCUUUCUCUCUGCCAUUUUCUUUUUCCCAAAACCCAUUGCUGUAAAAAAUUCCCUUCUCUUUUUCUUUCUUCUCUUCGUUUUUCUUCUUUUUCCAGCUUAGGCGUAUUGCUAACGGUUCUAUCGUUUUAGUAAGUAUCGCUUUAUCAAGUUGCGUGAUUUUCUUUGGAGAUAGUUUAAGAGGAUUUUUAUUUUUUGUUUAGGGGAUAUUCAAGGCUCUGUAGAUCAGUAAUCGAGUUCUAAACAGCAAGGAAACACUGUUCUUUAGUGAAGGUAAGUAGAUCUCUCUUUCGGGAUUUGGUAGUUCUUAAGGAUGUCAAUUUAAGUGAUUGAUUUUGGGUUCAGUAUUGUAGAUUUUAGGCUUUGGAGUGCUCGUGGUUGGAUUAGCAGCGAAAAUGAACCAGGUGUGUACUCAAAUCGAUUCGAAAUCACGUUUCGGCAAAAGUUGAAAACGCUACUGUCGACGUCACACGGGCGUGUGGACUACCCGUGUGGAGGCCGUGUGGAGGCCGUGUGGCGAUACACAACCGUGUGUUCGAAGAGCUAGACCGUGUGCGUGUGAUGGCUUGUGAUGGCUUGUAGGCCGUGUACGAGGUACGAGAUCAGGCAAAUAGGCCGUGUGGGACACAAAGGUGUGUGGGCCCAUACGGGUGAACCACACGGGCGUGUGGGAAUCUGGGCCAGGCCAUGUGAUCCACACGGGCAAAGUCAAGUUGGGCCAUGUGAGUCACACGGGCGUGUGGGACCACACGGGCAAGGCACACGGGCAUGUGAGCCCAAUUUGUUUGAAAUGUUCUGUAAGGUUGCACGGGUGGCCUAAGUCGACUAUGACCUGACUGUAGGGCUCAUACUCUAAUUGAUUACUGAAUUGUAUGCAAAAGCAUGUUAUUAUAAGCAUGUGUAUCUGUCUGAUUCCGUAUAUCUGUUCUGCCAUGAUUUUGAUAAGAUCUGAUAUCUGCAUAUAAGCAUGUCAUUAUAUGUAUGUUGCAUUGCAUUGGGUUGGGAUUGUUGUGAAGAGAAGGAAGUUUGAGAGGCGAUUAGUCUGUUAUCUGGCAGCUACGUUGCAUAUAUCCAUUAUGUACUGUAUUAUGGUACCUUUUGGUGUGUAAGGUUGGGUUGAUUAUAUCCCUAUACCUUGUGUACGGUUAGCUGGGUCGAUUCUAUCCCUACAUGGUGUGUUGGGUUGGUCGGAGAUGGUGUGCAGGGUUGGUGGGCAUAUUUUUUGAUAUCUGAUUUGUUAUGCAUGCGAUACCUGUAUGGCUAAAGCCGAACUAUUUGUAUUCUAUUGUCUUUCUGUAUGCAUGCUGUUUGUGGGGAUGUACACACUAAGUUCGCGAAAACUCACCCCUUUGUUUAUUUGUCUAUCAGGUAAUCCUCAGCAGUAGAUGGAUCGAUGUGACGGAGGGCUCGAUGGUGACCACUGUUGGACAUUUAUGGAUUUUUGAGUAACAUUCUAUUUGUCUGCUUUAUUUUAAAUAUUAAUUUCUGGGAUUAAAAUGUUUUGAACUUGAACUAUUUCUAAGUUUAUUUCGGGAUUUUAAACUAUUAAGCUAUUGAUUAAUGAGUUAAAGAUGUUUUAACUUCCGCGAUAAUGAAAUGUGUUCACCUAAUAAUUGGUUUGGAGAUUUCACGACUUAAGUAAUGAUAAUGAGUUGAACGAUUUUUAACUUGUUAAGAUUUUCUAAAAACCCUCUCAUGUGACGCCGCCAAAUUCGAACAUAACGUUUAGGCCGGGUUGGGGUGUUACAUGAAUUAUAAGGCUCAUUUUGAGUCUACACGGCUUAGCACACGGGGUGUGACCAAACUGUGUGAGACACACGGCUUACACACGGGCAUGUAGUUAGGCCGUGUGUCACCAGCUUUUUAAAUAUUGUAAACAUAAUGCUAAGGUAUGGCCACACAGGUAGAGACACGGGUGUGUGUCUCAGCCAUGUAAGGCAUACGGCCACAGAACACGGGCAUGUGCCAUGGCCAUGUAAAAAUUGCACUAGAUUCAAAUUGAAAAUAAAUCUGCACGGGCUAAGCACACAGGCGUGUGUCUUGGCUGUGUGAAACUAAUUUGUUCAUGAGUAAUAAGUCAGAGAGUUAUACGGGUAAAGGACACGGGCGUGUCCUGGCCGUGUGAGCCACAGGGAGUGAUAACAUGGGCAUGUCUUAGGGACACACGGACGUGUCUCUUAGACCACACGGGUGUAUGGGUACUGUUCAUAAGAUAAAUUUUAGAAAUUUUACGAAAAAUUUUAUAAGCUUCUGAUCGGGUUCCGUUUUGUUUCUAACAUCUUCUUUAGGCAUCGAAGGUCCAGUAAAGGGUUAAUAAGAUAAAUUAUUGAACUGUAUAAUGAAUGUUCUUACUUUAUUCAUGUUUAAUCUGUAGUGGCAGGUAAUGCUUCGUAAUCCUGUUCCGAUGCCGGAAAAGGGUUGAGGGUGUUAUAGCACAAAUGUCUUGUAUUGGACUAAAUUGUAAAUUCGUGUAAAUAUUGGUUGUAUAAAAGUAAUACAAUGUGUUAAUAUGAUCAUUGAUUGGUUAUAUGCCUCGUAAAUGAAAAAUGAAAUAUGUACAUGAUUUGAUAUUGACAUUUAUACGGAAGUAAUGCCCAAGUACACUUAGUAAAAGAUUAAGAUACGUAUGACAUGCCAUUAGGGUUAUACACAUAUUUGAUUAGGGAUUUACAUGUUAUUACGAGAUCUAGCAUUUGUUGUAGAUACCCAAGUUAAAUGUAUCAUAGGUUUAGCUCGGUGGGUAACCUUAAUAUAAUGUCAGCUUGUGUGAGCAAUACAUUCUCAUAUAUUCAAGUUCGUUUUACUAUAGUUCUAUCGGGCAAUGAUCAAUUGACUAGAAAUGGAAUUUAAAUCAUGAAAUGAUGUUGAUGAUAUUUGACAUAUAGGUUGUUAUAUGAUUCUAUUUUUAAUGUUUUUAAUGUUAACAAUACUUAAGAUAUAUGUAUUAAUGUGCCAAGGUAAGUUAAAUUGGUUUCCAAAUAGAAUAAUUAAUUAUGUCAUAUGGCCAAGGUAUGCUUUAGUUUUGAUUUGAACUUACUAAGCAUUUUACAUGCUUACCUUUGUUUCUUUUCCCUUUUUCCUUAUAGAUAGUCACCUUAUGGAACACAUCAAGUUGGAUUGUCUCGAAAUUCACACUAUCUCCAAUUCAAUAGCUAUUUGAUCAUUUUGAGUCAAAGGUUGUGGCAUGUAUAUAAGGUGUCUUGUGGUGCAUCUUAGCAUGUAAAUGUAUUUACUUAUAGCAAGUUUUUUUUAAUCUUUACUUAUCAUGUUGAUUUGGUGAUUUGAAUCAUAUAUGUCGUUAGACAUAUAUGUAUGUUUAUGCUAAAGAAUGUGAUGAACUAUAAUCAUAUAUUUGGCAUGUGGCAUGGCAUAGAAUGAAGUUGUGAUGGUAUGUUUGGUUGGUAAGCUUGAGAUAUGUAUUAGUGAAUAGAUGAUUUGGUUCAUGUUAAGGCACAUAAGCUAUUAAAGUACAAAGUGAAUAUAUGUGUAUGAAAUUAAGGUGAUAUAGCAUGUUUCAAAAUGAAAUGACAUUAGUAAGGUUUGAUCAUUACAUGACUUGGUUGUUAGGUUAUAAUAGUAGUAAGAUGUUUUGAAUAGGUGUGAACUGUUUGAUAAGAAGUCAAAAUUGUAUGUUUGAACUCAUAUGGUAUGUUUUCAUAAAUUUUGAGACAAUUUGGAGUGAAAUAUAGGUUCAUCUUUUGAAUGGUUUGGUUGGAAACUUAGAAAUAUGUACCAAAUGGUUCAUUUUUACCAAAAACAAGGUCCUUGUCUCGAUGACCAUCUUUCUUGUCACAACAUCGGUCAACAGCAUGUGACAUCGCGGUGUCGAGUGACUUGAAGUCGUGACAUGACAAAUUGUUUGACAAUGUCACAAUGUAGAAAAGGUGAUGUCAUGACAUCGAACCCGAACUUUUAAAAACUUUGCAAUUUGGUCCUAUUUUGAGUUUAGGUUUACAAAAGAACUUUCGUAAGCUCGAUUAAGACUCAAGAUUGAUUGUUUAACAUGAUUUGAAUGUGAUUAACAAAACUUAAAUUGCAUGUGUGAAUGAUUAAUUACUGCGUGUUUGUCUGUAGUUCGGGCCUGGUGAUCAAGUCGAGUGAGGGGUGUUAUAUCACUAAAGUUGAAGCUGAAACCUAGGUUGAAGCCAAAUUCGAUAUUGAAGUUGAAUGUGGCAGUGAUCUUAAGCAGAAAGUGUUAAGAUUUGUUCUCACAGUGCAAUGAUUCAGGCACAAUUACUUGUAAGUUUUGCAAAAAAAUGAUUGAAUAAAUAAAAUUACCACAUGCUCAUUUAGUUGAUCUUUAUAUGUUUUUACUCAAUGGUUUUUGCAUGAAAAACAAAAUGUAUAAGCAAAUACAAACUUCUUAAUUACCAAAGGUUUAAAUACUAUUAAGUUGCAUUAUAUAGAUGGAUUAUACUGCAAGAAACUUAUACUGGUAGGUAAUUUAAAUUAUUUGUAGGACAUAGAAUUAGAUUGAGAAAAUGAUUCAAAUAAUAAGAGACUAUUAUGUUUUCUAUAAUUCCAAUUGGAGAGAUAGCUUGCCUUGGCUAUCAAAACAAAGUUGACUUCAAGAAAUAAAGACAUAGAUGUGAUUGUCUGAACUAAUAAUACAUUAGAUUGGAUCCAAGUUGAAUUGAUCCUAAGUUCCUUUAUAGAUUUAUUCAUUGGUGACAUUCAUAGUAUGACUUACCUUAAUAAUGAGUAAGUGAAUAAUCACGCAUACAUGACUCAUGUACUUUAUAUAUUGAAAGCAUGUCCUUUCAUAGUAGUGGGUUGAACUAUGUUUGGUACAUGAGUUAUGCAUGGCAUGACUUUACCCACAAUAGUGAGCUAUAGCUUGAAUAAAAGAGUAAAUGAUAUGCUUUCAUUGGCACUGUAUGGAUUUUGAAAAUGGGACGUGGACAUGAGUCAUUUGUCUGGACGAAUGACUAAUAAUUACUAUUUGUAAAUAAUGAUCAUUUUCAUUGUGGAAGGUACAAUGUUGACCAUAAGAUAAAAAUAGAUCGAAUUAGGUGAAUGGAUUUAACCUAAAGGGGUCAAAGAUCCCCUAUCAGGUUAACAUACAUAUGACAAAGUCAUUGGACAAAAUCUUAACAUAAAUAGCUUUCAUAAUGGUAUAUAAUGGAUAGAUUAUUCGUUGUACUUUUAGUAGAUUGAACUUGUGACUAAACAACUAUGUAAUUAAUAGACGAAGAGUCGAAACUUAAUUACAAAUCAUCUAAGUCCUAAUUAUAUAUGUCCAAUCGAUCUAUACUGUAACAAUCCAAAAUUUCGAUAUGUCAUCUGGCAUUGUUUCAAAAUUAGAUACAGUGAAAAUUCCAAGGAUAUUGGAAAAUGAAAAAUAUUGAGGAUGUGGAAUUGUUGCAAAAAAAAAGAACAAAUUGUAAAUUUUAAAAAAGUUUGAGGACUAAAGUGCAAAUUUGACCAAAAAGAGAUAGGGAUUAUUAUUGACUAUUGUAGCAUAAGAAUAAAUUAAAAUAUGUAUUGGUGCGAGAAAAAUCAUUUUUGAGACUAAAUUGAAAAGAUUGGAAAGUACAAAUAUUAAAUCAUAAAUUUUUCUUUUAUCGAGAGAAGGGUGAAAGUGUAAUUUUCACCAUCUAAUGAUUUUUAUUAAGAUUUUAAUUUUGAAUUAUGAGAUUUCAAUAUUUUACAUGUCUAUUUGUUGCAAAGAAAUUGGAGUAAGAGGCAAGAAGGGACAUAAUGAUAAUUUUACUAUGUAAGAGCAUUUUGAUCAUUUGUCAAGAAUUUUAUAUAUGAAGUAUUAUUUUGGCAUGAUGUUAUUAUAUUGUGAUAUAAUAUUAGCCAUUGGAUGUGAAUGGAAGGGAGAGAACAUGUUAAUAUAUUUUGACAUAAUGUCAUUAUAUUUUAUACAAAUGAUUGGGUUAGUGAGAACAUCAAAAAAAUACUCACAAUAUUAAGUUUGAUAAUUUGAAUUGGAUCACACUCUUUUGUAUUCUUUGCUGGAAAAUAUGGAAGCAAAGAAAUUUGCUUGUGUUUAGGAGGGACAGAUCAUUGUGGUUCGUAUAACACUCUUGCACAAGGCGUUGCUAGUUUAGGCAAAGUCAGUGUUCAACAGUAGUGUUACGAGUAGCCAACAGGCUAUUAAAACUGAAAAGCUUGUUGGAUGGUCAGCUCAUGCAUUUGGUUGGGUUAAAUUGAAUACAAAUGAAGCAUAGCUUCAACAAGGGGGUAUUGACUGAGAGACUCCUCAGGUCGAUGGCUAAUGGGUUUUAUCUAUUCUAGAGAUAAGAAAAUUUUAAUGUUUUUAUUAAAUUUUAUUUUAUUAUAUUUUCAUCCAUUCAUAUGUAAAGAUUUGUUUUUUUAUAUCAACUUAAUAUAUAUUAAUGAUUUUAAAUUCAUACUAAAAUAAGUUUUACAAUAUAUACAUUAAAUAAAUAAUUUAAAAGUAAAUUAUUUUUUAAAACCUUAUUGAUCACACAUAAAUAUUUUAUUUAAGUAAAUGUAUUCUUUUAUUCUUUCGAUCAAUAGUAUAUUUUAAUAAAGGACACAAUUCCUAUAUAUUUGUUUUUUAUUCUUUUUAAUUUCACUUUUUUUCUUUAUUCUUUUUUGUAUUUUCAUCUAUAUAAUUUUUUUUAUAUAUAUUAUGUUAUGGUUAAUAUCAAUAUAUACAUGUGUGUGCAAAUUUUUUUUUCAUUAUUUUGACUAAAAAAGUUAAUUUUCAAGCAUUUUGUGAUUGCUUAACAUAGAAUUUUUUCAUUUAUUUAUUUAAUUUAAAUUUAGUAAAUAAUUUUAAACUUUAUUAAGAUAGUAUUUUAGGAUAAUAUAUCUUAAUUUAUUUUUUUCCAUUUUUAUUUAUUAAUAGUUUUAAUAAAACAUAUGUUUCAUUUUUAUAAUUUUAUAAUCUUAAAAAGAUAACGAUUUUCAUUUAUUUAUAUUAAAUUUUUAUUUAUUAAAUUUUUAUUUUAAAUAGAUUUUAAACUUGAAUUAUUUUAAACAUUAAAAAAAAUAAUUACCAUUGAAGAGGUAAAAAAAUUAAAAUUAUAAAUAUGAGAUUAGUGUUUUACUUUAUGACAAUGAAAAUAAUUUUGCUAAUAGAUAAUUUUUUAUUAAUAUAUACAUAUAUCUAAUGAAUUUUUUAAUAAUUUGUCUUUUACACUUUGAAUAUUUUUACAACACCCUUUUAAAAUAUAAUUUUCUAAUUAUUAUUUAAAAUUUAAAUAAUUCUAAUUACUUUAAAUUUAAAUUUACUUUUAUUAUUGCAUUAAAUUUGUUUUAAAUUAUUUAUAACUCAUUCAUAAUCAUACCUAUUUCUUAUAUUUUUAUUAAACAAUAAUUUAUUAUAAAAUUUUCUAAAAUUAAAUAAUAAUUUUGUAUUUAUUUUCAUUUUAUCAUUAUUUAUAUUUAUAUUUAUUUUAAUAUUAAGUCACAUUUUAAAUAUUUUUUAUAAUAAAAUUAAAUUUAUUAAUAUUAAUAAUGUAUUUUUGUUAUACUAAAAAUUUUUAAUAGUAAUUUUAGAAUAUAAGAUAAUAUUUUAAUUUUAGUUUUAGUUUAAAUAAUUUUUUAUUAUAAUUUUAGUAAUAUAAAAAUUCUUUAUAGAAAUAUAUUAAAUAAACAACUAACACAUGCAUUAUGCGUAACAAACUAGUUAGAAUAUAAUUUAAUUAAAUUUUAAUUUGGUAAAAAUGAAGAAUAAUUUUAAAAUUGUUAUGAUUAUUAAGUGGAUGUCCAUUAAGAUCAAUAUAAGUUUUGAUGUACUUUAAAUUCUAAUAGUCAUUAGAAUUAAAUCUCUACUUCAUUUAUACUUCUUAUGCUUAUAAAUAGAGACUUUGGAGAAGCUUUGUAAAUAUUUUGAUUGAUUAAUAAAAUACACUCUCUCUUCUGCUCUCCCAUUCUCUUUGUUUUUUAUUUUCUGUCUUUUUAUUUUAUAACACCUUAUCAGCACAAUCUUGCUCAAAGUGAUAAAAACUUUUAUCGAUGAUCAAAUUUAUUCUCCAUGAUUUCCAAGAUCUUAGAAGGCAAGAUGCAAAGUUUUUGCAGGAAGUUUCUUUUAUUUAAUGUUUCAUAUUUGAUUAUUUUUAGAUAAUUUAUGAUCAAUUAUAAUUAUUUUGAUUAAAACCUUUUAUCGAUGAUCAAAUUUAUUCUCCAUGAUUUCCAAGAUCUUAGAAGGCAAGAUGCAAAGUUUUUGCAGGAAGUUUCUUUUAUUUAAAGUUUCAUAUUUGAUUAUUUUUAGAUAAUUUAUGAUCAAUUAUAAUUAUUUUGAUUAACUUUUUUUUUUAUUUUUAUGUUAUUAAGGAUGGUGAAGGAUUUGAUAUCGCUAUCUAUAUGAAAUUGUGAUUGGAUUCAAAGUCUACUAUUGGAGUUUAAAUUUGAUUAUUUGUUGAUAAAAUCAUCAAGAAUUCGUUGAAUAAGAAACGUACAUCAACUUAAUUAGAUCUCUAUCUUUACACUUUUUCUCAAUAAUAGCAUCUUUAGAUAUUAAAUUAAUUUGAUAUAUGGUUUAAAUAUUUGAGAUGAAUUUAUUUUAAGUUUUGGUUCCAUGGGUUACUUAUUGUUUCAAACAUCUUAUUUAUUCAUGAAAAUGAAUAUUGUUUGACUUCUUUAUGUUGUUAUAGUAGGUUUUAUAAUUAAAUAAUGUAUUUGGCUUAAAAACAUAUUAUUAUGUAAAUUUGUGUUGAUAAACCUAUGAAAUUUAUAAUUGUUCAGUUUUGAUUUAGUUUGAAUAUAAAUUAUGUUCCAUUAAUGUCUCUUAUUAUUUUGGUUAUACAAUUUGAAUUUUUUCAAUACUCAUACAUGCAUAGUUCUAAACACAAUUUUUUGAGGAAUGUCUAAAUUGAUUUUUGGGUUGGUUCUAAUAUUAAAUUUCAAGUUUAAUUGUUGUCAUUUUUAAUUCUUGAUUUAUUUUGGUUGAAAACAUUUUCAUAAACUUAAAAAUAAGAAUUACUAUAUGAAUUUGAUCGCUUGCAUUUCUACGAAUCUCGUUUGUAUUAACCAAUUUUUGUUUGAUAAGAAGCAUUAAAACAACUUGCCUGGUUUAAUUUUGAUAAAUACCUUAUAUUUUCUUACUAUACAACCCAGAGAAACUUGUUGUUUUCGUAAAGUUGUUAAAGGUGGUUCAUACACUUUAUAUUUGUUAAUUAUUUAGAGAAAUUAUAUGAGGAAUUAUAAAUGGAAAAGUUUUAGUGAACAUGAGAUGUAUGAUUUUGAAGUAAGUUUCAUACAUGUCUGCAAUGGUUUAUGAUUUUUUUUUGUACGAAUAUGAUAAAUGAAUGAUAUCUAUAUAAUCUUAUUGGUAAGGAAUAUGAUAUAUGCUUACAUUAUUGUUCAAUUUUGUUUUUGUACAUUCCUUGAAAUGAAUGUUUGCAAUAAAUAUAACAAAUUGUAUAAUCACUUUUGGUUAUUAAUGUCAAUUUGAACAUUUGAAGAGCUUGACAUAUUCCCUGAAGUGAAUAUUGCAAAUAAUUGUUUGCAAAUUAUAUUUCUUUUAUUGAGUUAAUAACAUUAUGGACUUCACAUUUAUGUAGACAUUUCCAGAAGUAAAUGUCACAAUAGUACUUAUAUGUGGAUACAAAGUAAAAGGAAUGAUGGUAAAAUUAUCAAUUUGUCACAAUUUAUAUUGAUAUUAAUAGUACAAUUGAAAUGUACGUUAAAGUAAACUAGAAGUUUACUGAUACAAAUGCAUUUACUACUUGGCGUGACAAGUUAGACCAUCAUGGAUCAUAUAUGAUGCGAAAAUUAAUUAAGAAUCCAUAGACAUUCAUUAAAGAACCAAGAGAUUCUUUAAUUUAAAGAACUCUCAUUUGUUGUUUGUUCUCAAUGAAAACUGAUUAUUAGAAACUCACUAGCUAAAGUUGAGAUUUAAUGUCUUGUAUUUCUGAAAUGAAUAUGGGUCCAUUCAUCCACCAUGUGGAUUUUGAAAUUAUAUGAUUUUGGUAGAUGCAUCUACAAAAUAAUCACAUGUGUUAUCAACUCGCAACCUGUCGUUUGCAAGAUUGCUUGUUUAAAUGAUUAAUUUUAGAUUAUGCAGUUAAAACAAUUCAUCUUGUUAAUGUUGGUGAGUUUAUAUCCCAAGCUUUCUAUAAUUAUUGUAUGUCAAUUAGGAAAAAAGUUGAACAUCCUGUAGCUCAUAUUCACACAUAAAACGAUUUAGCUAAAUUGUUUAUCAAAUGUCUCCAACUAAUAACUAAAUCAUUACUUAUGAGAACAAAGCUUCCUAUUUCAGCAUGAGAUUGUAUUGAUUUACAUGUUGUACGUAUCAAAUCAAUAAAUUAUAAAUACUUCCCAUUACAAUUGAUUUUUGGUCAAGAGCCAAAUAUUUCCCAUAUUGCAAUUUUUGGAUGUGCGGUAUAUGUUCCAACUACUCCACCACUACGUACAAAGAUGGAUCAUCAUAAGAGAUUGGGAAUGCAUAUUUAUAUGAGUCUCCUUAUAUUAUUAAAUAUUUUUGAGGUAUUAAUUCGAGAUUUAGUUAUGAAAUGAGUUGUCUGUUUUCCCAACAUUAGGGGGAGAGAAUAAAAAGCUGGAUUAAUAAAAUACUUGAAAUGAAUUAUCAAAGUCUAAGAUCCUCGUACAAAGCAAUGUGAACCAAAAGUUCAAUAGAUAAUUCAUUUUACAAAUCAAUUGUCAGAUUCAUUAAACCUCACAUACCAACUGAAAAUGCUACAAUAGGAAUUGAUGUCCAAAUAGGGCAAACUGUUGUGCAAAAGAAAGUAAUCCACGCCUAAAGCAUGGAAGACCGGUCGGUUCCAAAGAUAAAAAUCCUCGUAAAAGAAAAGAAGCAAACAUUCAAGAUAGUCAUAUAGUAGAGGCAGGGUUCUUGAAGAAACCCAUGACAUAAAUAAUUAUAGAACUCAAGAAGAGAUUCAGAUACCUAAAAGUAAAAAUGAAAAUGAUGAAAAUAAAGAAAUAUCGAUAAAUUAUGUCAAUAUGAGAAAAAGAUGGAACUGAAAAAAAUAUAGUUGUCGACAACAAUUUUGUUUAUAAUGUUGUCAUUGAAAUAAAAAAAAGGAAAUGAGGAUCAUGAGCCUAAACCUAUUGAGGACUGUAAAAAUAGAAAAUAAUAGCCAAAAUGGAAAGACGUAAUUCGAGCAAAAUUGAAUUCACUUUCAGAACGUGAGGUUUUUGGACAUGUAUCCUAAACACCUAAAGAUGUAAAGUCGAUAGAAUAUAAAUGGGUAUUUGUGUGAAAACGAAAUGAAAUUGUGAAAUCGUAAGAUAUAAAACUCGACUUGUAGCAUAAAGAUUUUCGUAAAGGCCCGAUAUUUAUUACAAAGAGACAUAUUCUUCUGUGGUAGAUGCAAUCACGUUUAGAUGACUUAUUAGUCUGGCAGUACAUGAAAAACCUUACAUGCAUCUAAUGGAUAUUGUUACAUACUAUUUGUAUGGUAGACUUGAUAGUGAAAUUUAAAUGAAAAUCUUAGAAGGAUAUAGAGUUUCUUGGGAAAAUUGCUCGAUCAGACUAAAGAAAAUUUUAUAUGGAUUAAAACAAUGUGGACGUAUGUGGUACAAUCUUCUUAAUGAAUAUUUGUUGAAAGAAUGUUAUAAAAAUGAUCUAAUUUGUCCAUGUGUUUGUAUAAAAAGGUUUGGAUCGAAUUUUGUGAUAAUUAUUAUUUAUGUUGAUGAUCUUAAUAUUAUUGAAAUUCCUAAAGAGCUUCAAAAUGCAAUAAAUUAUUUAAAGAAUUUGAGAUGAAAGAUCUUGGAAAAAUAAUGUUUUGUCUUGGCUUGCAAAUCGAGCAUUUAAAAGAUGAAAUUCAUGUCCAUCAGUCAAUUUAUACGGAAAAGAUCUUAAAGAAGUUUUACAUGGAUAAAGCGUGUAACAUCCCCACUUUAAAAAAAGAAAAAAGAGAAGAAGAAUAUCUAUAGUAGAAGUUCUUAAAUAAGUGAUCUAUAAAUAAAUAGUAGUACAAAAAAAUUGUGACGUUUUUAAAAGAAACUGUUAGACAUGAAAACACAGAGGAUUAUUAAGAGUAUGUGGUUAAUUUAAAAAUUCGGUAUCGAGUUCAGAGAUUAAAUUGAAUACAUUAGAAAAGUAUAGAGACUAAAGUGCAAUUAUCUUAUUUUAUUUUGACGAAAAUGACUUAAUGGUAAUUUUUCCAUUACUUAAAAAAAUAAAAAAUGUCAUGAUGGCUUUAAAUGAUAUUUUCAUUAAAUAAUUAUUAUUUAACAUUUUAUUUAAAAUAAUAGUAAUUUAUUAAAUAUUAUAAUAUAUAUAUAAAGAGAGAAAGAUUAGUUUCUUUCUCAUCUUUCUCACGAAAGGUUGGGAAAAAAAACAAAACUUCUUCCAUUAUUUUCCUUCAAAUUCAACUAUAAGGUAUGGUUUUUCUUCAAAUUUUUGUUAGAUUUUGAAUUUUUAAAGCUUGUUUUACAUAUAUAUACCAAUAGUUUUUUAUUUAUCAAGUAUUUUGGAAGUUGCCAUUAAAGGACAUUGAUGGAAGCUUAAAAAACUUAAGUGAAAUAGAUAUAAUUUUGGAUAGGAAAUGAUUAGAAGAUGAGUUCUAGCUUGUUAGAAGUUUGAAAAAGAAACAAAAAUGGAUGAAAAGUUUAUUUGGUAUAUUUGGCCAUAUUAAAGGGGAAGUAGAGAACAUUGGCCACUUUGUGUAAUAUUGGUGCUAAAUGAUAACUAGUGAAGAAGUGAGUACUCCAGUGAAGACGGAAUUGAAAACGGAUAAUCGAGUCGAAAGAUAUGGGAAUUUUGGACUAGGAAACUUAAGUUGCUAACUUAAUCAACCAUGCAUAUUUAAGUUUGUUUUUAUUAGUUUUAGUUUUAGAAUGGAUAAAUGAUGUUGUUUCGUAUUGAAUUGCUCCUACUGUAGCUAAAAACGAAGAGAACAUCUUGAAGGAGAAAGGCGAAGAAAAUGAGUAAAGCGAUUAAAACUUCGGUUUGUACUAAUAUCUUAUUUUCAUCACAUAAAUCUUUAGAAUAUAUAGUUUACUAUGAUUAGUUAUAUUGAUUUUAUUUUAUUUUAUUUUUAUGAGUUUUGGAUGAGUUUGAAUGAUUUAGUUAAUAUUUAUAAACUUAUGUUUCAAGAUGAAUACUAUGUUUUUCAUAUGAUCAAAUUAGCAAAUUCAUGGUUAUGAUUUGGAUUUGAGUAUUAUGAUUUUAGAUGAUUGAUUAACAAAAUGAUUAAUAUGUUCUAAAUUGGAAGUCUAUUUUUACAUUAAGCGAUAUAUGAUUUGAACAUGAAACAGAAUUGAAAUGAGAAUUAUAUGAAAAUGGAAUUGAAAUGGAUCAUGAAAUUUAGUUUUUAUCCCGUUUCACUAAGUUAGACUAAAUCAGAUAUAGUUGGUGUAACACCUCAAACCCGGCCUAGACGUUAUGGUCGAAUCUAGCGAUAUCACAUGGGAGUGUUUUUGGAAAACCCUUUUCGCUACAUGAAAACUAUUACAGUUAUUAUCUUUAAUUUAGUCUAGAGUCAUAUUUCAAAUCGCGGAAGCUUUCAAAACCAAUUUAGUUUACGAAAAAUCUUAGUUAUUUCGAUAAAACCAUUCUCUAGCAUUGUGGUUCUAAAAUUCGAAUUCACAGUUCAGAUCCCAAAUCAAAACUAAAAGUCCAAAUCCAAGAUUACAUCCAAAAUUCUCAAAAUAAUUAAGAAGAAAUGAAAUAAAAUGUUUAAACUAUAAAACUCAUAAGUGGAAAGAUGGGGUCACCAUUGAGUCCUUUGCUGCACCAAUCCAACUACUGCUGGGGAUUACCUGGACAGAUAAAAUAGAAAAGGGUGAGUUUCACAACUUAGUGUGUACAUCCCCCACAGUUUAACAUGCAUACAGACAAAUAUCAAAAAAUAGUCAUACUUCGAGCCUGAGCCCUUUACAAAAUCAGUAUGAGAUUUAGCCCAUUCAGAAACAGAAUCAGAUGCAUAUAUAAAGUUAGGCCUUAGCCCACGAAGUCAGAUAUAGCAUGCAACAGAUCAUAUAUAUAGAAAAAUAUGCCCACCAACCCUGCACACCAACUCCGUCCAACCCAGCACACCAUGUGGGGAUAAAAUCGACCCACCCAUCCCUACACACCAAAUAUGGGGAUAAUAUCGACCCAUCCAACCCUACACACCAUAAGGUACCGCAAUGCAGCACACGUCAUACAUAUGCAGCUUAGCUGCCAGACAACAGGCUUAUGAAGCCUUUCAGAUACUUCCUUCACUUCAUCAAACCCACCCCAAUACAAUGUAGCAUACAACAUGGCAUGCUAAUAAACAGAUUAAUGACAUAUACCCAUAUACAGAACAAAACACAUAUACAUGCUAACUAGCACAUGCAUUAAUCAUACAUCACAUAAUCAGAUUAGAUAAACAAAAAUUAAAGGUCUAAGUAAUGCUUACCGACCCUAUAACUGGUCACAGUCGACUUGGGCUACCUGUGCAACCUUACAGAAUAUUUCGGAAAAAUGGGCUCACAUGCCUAUGUGACAUGCCCAUAUGGCCCUACAUGCCUGUGUGGCCCACACGGCCCAAAUCAGCCUUGGUCGGGUGGACCACAUGGCCUGGCCAAAAUUCUCACAUGCCCGUGUAGCCCACACGGCCUAAUUGGUCGAGCCCGUGUCUCGCACACGGCCUAAUUGGUCGAGCCCGUGUCUCGCACACGGCCUCGUCGGUCAUCACACGGCCGUAUUGUGCUCUAGUGUCGCAUGCGCACGGCCUGAUUCAUCGACCACAUAGCCCACCACACGGGCAGUCCACACACCCGUGUGGUGUCGAUAGUUUGCUUUUUAGUUUUCGUCGAAUCUCAUUUUCUGUGUAAUCAGAGUACACACCUGGUAUCGAUUUGAAGCUAACACAACCACAAACACUCCAAAACUUAAUAUCGAACAACACGUCCCUUAGUUAGUCACUUAAACCAAGUUUUUAAGAACGGGAAAAUCCCGAAAGUUAACGAUUUCCAUACCUCUAAUGAUCAACGAUAGUUCCUUGCUGUCUAAAGUGCUAGCGCCUAGAUUGUCUCCUACAUAGAAAAGAGUCUCUUAACCACUCAACAAACAUAAAAACAAGACAAAAAGCACUCCAACACUUACCGAAUUCGCACCAAACGCAGAGAUAAGUAACGACGAUGAAAAAUGACCAAAAACUAAUAUUAAAAUAAAGAAAAAAUCGGUAGCAACAAGGGAUUUUCGGCUGGAAAGAAAAAGAAAAUAGAGAAAAUAUGGAGAGGGGAAAUUUGCAGGGAAAAUUCAACAGUGAGAGAGUGGAAUGAUUUGGGUUACUCCCAAAUCCCUUGUUUUGCUCCCACUAAACCUUAGUUGUUGCAAACACUCAGUAUCCCAAACCAACUCAAGCACUCCCAUGGUAUUAGUAACAAAAAUAAUGCCUUCAUUCAAACUUGAACCCAAAACAUUCCUCACAUCCACACUCCUCUUAUCCACCAGACCAACAGACCCAUUCUUGUAAGCUUUUCCAACCAAUUACUUAUAAGCCCUAUAACCCAAGACAAGUCUUCAUACAUAUAAAAACCAAAAUUUUUCCCAAGCUAAGGUUUGAACUCAAGACCUCACACACACACCCAGAACACUUAACCACUGAAGUAUAUACACAAUUGUGUCAAUUAAUCACAAAAGCCGAAAUAUAAAAUUUGGGGCUUUACAAUUGGCAUGCCAUAGAGUCUUUAUAUCAGAUAAUUUCGAUCUCUCCAAUUCCUAAAGGAUUGAGGGAGAAAAGGCCAAGUCGGUCAGUUGUUAUUAUUGUUAGCCCUAAUUCCUAGAGGUUCAUGGGCAGUCCCAUUUCCCAGAGGGUCGUGGACUGUUUUGAUAGCCAUUGUUGCCGAACAACUCGGGGUGGUGGAUUCAUAUAUUUGGUUAUGAGUCUAAACUUUAGUACAAGAUCUAAAUUGAAACAAAAACAAAAACAAAACUUGAAUUUAUUUGAAUUUCCAUAUUGUGCAAAUUAAAUUAAUUAACGUGAUUUGAAUUUAAUUAAAAAACUUAUUUUCUUUAUUCGAUUUGUCAAUAUCAAAAUAUUAACUGUUGAUUUUAGAAUUUUCUUUUAUUGAGAUGUUUUUAAUGAUAUUUAUAAUCAUGUUUUAGUUUAUUUCUAUCAAUUAAUUUAUAUUCAAUACUUAUGUAAUGAUUUAUAUGAUAUUAGCACCAUUGAGCAUAAAAAUUGUUCAGCGUACAAUUUGUCUAUUUUUCUUUGCGAGGGUAGUUAGAUUCGCUAGAUUGUUCCAACAAUCCGGAGAAUCGAAGUUUAGCUCAAACAAUGUUGGUGAAGAGUUUACUUUAUAGUUGAUGUAAAUGGCAUGUACCUAGGCUUCUAUAUAUAUAAUAUUAUGUCGUAAAUUGAAUUUAAAUAUCUUCAUUAUGUUUUCUUUGCUAAUAUUCUAUAACUAAUGUUUUGGAUGAAAUAGUAAAGCGUAGAAAUCUAGUUUAUUGGUAUGUUUUGAGAAAUCGUAGUGCUGAGAAUUGAUUUGGGAGAUAAUUUGAAUGUGGAUAUUUUGUGAAAUCUAAAUUUUGUAGGAGGUUUUAUGUAAAAUAGGUAGAAAUGCUACUAAAAUUUUUAUAAAAUAAUUUUACCACUAUGUUUCCUUCAAAAAAAAAAGAAGAUAGAAAAGUGAGUUGCUUCGGUAAUGAAAUGUGGCAUUUUAUAUUCGAAUCCAACAACUGGGUCUGGUAUAAGGUUUCCCAAAACGUAUCCAUUGAGUACCCUGAUGGUUGUAUGGUCGUUAGAUUGAAUUUUGUCCUUGUGAGAAUGAUGAAUAUUUCUUGGUCCUGAAGCAUGAUAUCUAAAUAACAUUGAUGUAUCUUGCAAACAACACAAGACCUGAUAUAACUUUUGUUGUAAACUUGUUAGCAAGAUUUAGUUAUUCUCCAAACAUAGACAGUGGAAUGGAAUUAAACAUGUAUUCAGAUAUCUCAGAAGGACCAUUAAUAUGAGAUUAUUUUAUUCAAAUGAUUCAAAAUCUCUAUUAGUUGGCUAUGCUAAUGUUGGUUAUUUAUCGAAUCCACAUAAAUGUUGAUCUCAAAUGGGAUAUUUAUUUGCAUGUGGGGGUACUGUCAUAUCAUGGCGUUCAACAAAGCAAACAUUAACUGCUGCUUCUUCGAAUCAUGCAGAAAUAAUUGCAAUGCAUGAGGCACGUCUAGAGUAUGUUUGGCUAAGGUUAUUGACCUAACAUAUCCAGAAGAUAUGUAAUUUGCCUUUACAGAAAAAGAUGCCAACUAUCUUAUAUGAAGAUAAUGCAACAUGUAUAGCUCAAUUGAAGGGUGGUUACAUCAAAAGUAACAGAACAAAACAUAUUUCACCAAAAUUAUUCUUCACCCAUGUUCUUGAGAAAAGAGGUGAUAUAAAUGUUCAACAAAUUCGUUCUAAUGAUAAUUUAGCAGAUUUUUUUUUAUUAAAGUAUUGCCAACUUUAAUAUUUGAAAGACUACUACACAUGAUUGGAAUGCGUCGACUUAAAGAUAUAAUGUCAUGUUGCCAUAGGGGGAGUCUAAGAACAAGUUGUACUAUUUUCCUUUAACUAAGGUUUUGUCCCAUUGGGUUUUCUUUGUAAAGGUUUUUAACGAGGCAGCUUGUAAUAAAAGAUUUUGUACUAUUUUUCCUUCAUUAUGUUUUUAUCCCACAGAGUUUUUCCUAAACAUUAUCUAUCAAUGGACAUCUAAGGGAGAGUGUUAUGAAUAUUUUAUUAAAUGGAUGUUCAUCAAGAUCAAGAUAAGUUUUGAUGUAGUUUAAAUUCUAAUAGUCAUUAGAAUUAGAUCUAUACUUCAUUUAUACUUCUUAUGCCUAUAAAUAGAUACUUUGAAGAAGUAUUAUAAUCAUCCCAUUUGAUCAAUAAAAUACAUUCUCUAUUGCUUCCCCUAUUUUAUUUGUUCUUCAUUAUUUUUAUCUCUCUUUAUUUUAUAACAAAAACUAAUUAUUUUGUAAUUAAAAGGUCAUAAAAAAUGAAAAUUAAAAAUAAAUAACUAAUAAAGGGUAAUUUUAUAUUUUUAUUUAAAAUACAUUGUGUAUAACCUUUGGAAUGCAUUUUUCAUUAAACUUGAGUAUUUUUUCAAAUGUAUAAAGAUAGUCCGUAACGUUUACAUUUUUUUAUUAAAUCAAUCAUCAAAAUUUCAAAAAAAGUUGAAUUGGUGCUUUUUAACAAAAAUAUCGACUAAAACGUUAAAAUUUUAAACAUGCCAGCUCAUAUGGCAAUCUAUGCAUACUUCAUGUAUUUUUUUUGAAUUAUUUGUUCUUUUUAAAUUAUUUCUUAACGUGACAUGUACGAUAAAUAGUAUCAUGUCAACAUGAAGUAUACACGAACUACCAUGCAAGUUGCCACACUAACAUCGUUAAAAAAAUUUAUGUUUUAGACAAUAUUUCCAUUAAAAAAAAAUCAAAAUGACACUUUUUGAAAGCUUAAUGGUCAAAUUUAACUCAAUAAAAAAUAAGAGCCAAAUUGGCAAAAAAAUAUCAAUAUUAAGGGCUAAAUCUAUCAUUAUGCCUUUUUCAAACCAAAGUGAUAGUUUAUAUAAUAUGUUUAAGUAGUUCAUAAAUAAUUAAAAAUUAGUAAAACGGAAAAGAAUAGAUUUUUAAAUAAAAAUAAACAUAGUCAUUAGUUGUAGAAAUGCAGAGUUGUAAAGAGAUUAUAAGAAACCAAGGUUUCACUAUGUUAGUUAAAAAUUGUUUGAUUAAAAAAGGGGAGGGGAGAUAUUAAUGUACUGAAAUGCAAUGAAUUUAUGCCAUUGUGGCUCAAGGCAUGAGUUCUUUCCCGGAAGACAUUAGUGUCACAGAUGUUUAUAGGGGGAUAGGUUCCAGUUAGAGCUGCAGAAAUUCAGAUACAUGGAAAUGUAUGUACCUAAUGAGUAAUAUCCAACAGUUGGGGAAGAAAGAGCUUAUUCCAGGCAGGGAGGAAAAUGGGGGCAUCUUUUUGCUUUAUGUCAAAAGGGCAAUAACCACAAGUACCCCCCUUUGAUUUCGGGGGAAAGUGGACCCUUUUGGUUCAAAUCAGUGUUUGUUCAACUAUGAAGCUCCUGCUGAUGUUGUGUUAUAGGAUUUCUUACUUGCAAACAGAAUCAAAUACAUAAUUGAUUAUGAAGCAACUUUUAAAGCAGGAAUAGAAUUUUUUCAAAGUCAUUGCUAAAUGAUGACAUGAUAUACAGAAAUUGGAAAUAUUCUAUCCAUUUCCCAAAUACACCAUGGGUUAUAAAUAGGAUACUAUAUACAUAAUUGUCACCAUCCAUCUACUGAUAUUAGACCCAAGGAGAUUGCUAAGCACUGUCAAGCUUUCAUCUUCUCCCUUGUAACCCAUCAUCUACUGCAUUACAAUCCCAGGCUUUCAAUGUGCCCAGAACGGUUUAGCUGGAGUGCGCUUCAGUGCCUUCACUGCCAAAGGAUUGCCCUUGCUCUGCCAAAAAAACAACUGUUUAAAACUUCAAUUGAAACAAAUAGAAUGAAAGGAUUGAUGACUUUGGACUUAAGCGUACCAUCAAGCAGGUGCCUUCAUGUAUGUUGCAGACAGGGUAGUCAUGAGGGCAGCAGCUGUAGCGAUCUUCGCAGCAAGUGGCAGCCUCGAGUGGGCAGCAUCCCCAAGCAAAGCAGUAGUUAUAGUACUCGUAUAUGCAGCAGCAGGUAUUGCUCUCGGGACAGGAAUAAUAACUAUCGCACACGGUCGGAGGCUUUAUAGGAGAUGGUGGAGACGGUCCGGGAUUGGGGGGAUUUUCACCUGUUUUGAUCGGAUAAGAGGCUUCCAUCGCGAUCCCACAUUUGCCAGUUACGGUAUUGGCCACAUUCCUUGCCAUCCUGAUAUAGCCUGCUUCUCCCCAGCUGCUUCCCCAUGAGUUCUUUACAAUCCAAUAGUCUUUACCUUUCUCUGUGCCAUAUCCAACAGCAGUGACACCGUGGUCUAGUUGUGUUCCACAUUUUCCAUCAAAUAU